AUUGAACGCUGGCGGCAUGCCUUACACAUGCAAGUCGAACGGCAGCACGGGAGCAAUCCUGGUGGCGAGUGGCGAACGGGUGAGUAAUAUAUCGGAACGUGCCCAGUCGUGGGGGAUAACGUAGCGAAAGCUACGCUAAUACCGCAUACGAUCUACGGAUGAAAGCGGGGGAUCGCAAGACCUCGCGCGAUUGGAGCGGCCGAUAUCAGAUUAGCUAGUUGGUGGGGUAAAAGCUCACCAAGGCGACGAUCUGUAGCUGGUCUGAGAGGACGACCAGCCACACUGGAACUGAGACACGGUCCAGACUCCUACGGGAGGCAGCAGUGGGGAAUUUUGGACAAUGGGCGCAAGCCUGAUCCAGCAAUGCCGCGUGCAGGAUGAAGGCCUUCGGUUGUAACUAGCUUUGUACGGUAACGAAACGGUAGAGCUCUAAUAAAGACUUGCUAAUGACGGUACCGUAACGAAUAAGACACCGGCUAACU
This 482-nucleotide ribosomal RNA is filed under the name uncultured bacterium. RNAcentral's name for it is "bacterial SSU rRNA". It matches the Rfam family "Bacterial small subunit ribosomal RNA", at positions 30 to 502 of the family's 1533-position model. The record is from RNAcentral.